RNAcentral lists this ribosomal RNA (427 nucleotides) under uncultured beta proteobacterium. RNAcentral's name for it is "bacterial SSU rRNA". It matches the Rfam family "Bacterial small subunit ribosomal RNA", at positions 355 to 774 of the family's 1533-position model. The record is from RNAcentral. Lineage: Bacteria; Pseudomonadati; Pseudomonadota; Betaproteobacteria.
UGGGGAAUUUUGGACAAUGGGCGAAAGCCUGAUCCAGCCAUGCCGCGUGAGUGAAGAAGGCCUUCGGGUUGUAAAGCUCUUUUAGUCGGGAAGCAAGCGUUGCAAUGACUAAUUGUGAUUUAUGACGGUACCGACAGAAACAGCACCGGCUAACUACGUGCCAGCAGCCGCGGUAAUACGUAGGGUGCGAGCGUUAAUCGGAAUUACUGGGCGUAAAGGGUGGGCAGGCGGUCUUGCAAGUCAGAUGUGAAAGCCCCGGGCUUAACCUGGGAAUUGCGUUUGAAACUACAAGGCUAGAGUGCAGCAGAGGGGAGUGGAAUUCCAUGUGUAGCAGUGAAAUGCGUAGAGAUGUGGAAGAACACCGAUGGCGAAGGCAGCUCCCUGGGUUGACACUGACGCUCAUGCACGAAAGCGUGGGGAGCAAACA